Molecule: ribosomal RNA, 484 nt
Filed under: uncultured bacterium
Lineage: Bacteria
Description: partial 16S ribosomal RNA
Rfam family: Bacterial small subunit ribosomal RNA
Source: RNAcentral
AUUGAACGCUGGCGGCAGGCCUAACACAUGCAAGUCGAGCGGAUGAAGGGGGCUUGCUCCUGGUUUCAGUGGCGGACGGGUGAGUAAUGCCUAGGAAUCUGCCUGGCGGGGGUGGGUAACGUCCGGAAACGGGCGCUUAUACCCCGUACAUCUCGUUGAGGAGAGUGGGUGAGCGUUGGACCUCGCCGCAUGAGGUGAGCCUUGGUCGGAUUAGCUAGUUGGUGGGGUAAAGGCCUACCAAGGCGACGAUCCGUAACUGGUCUGAGAGGAUGAGCAGUCACACUGGAAAUGAGACACGGUCCAGACGCCUACGGGAGGCAGCAGUGGCGAAUAUGGGACGAUGGGGGAAAGCAUGAUCGAGCAAUGCGGCAACUGUGAAGAAGGUAUUCGGAGUGUAAAAAAACUUAAGUUGGGAGGAAGAGCAGUAAGUUAAGACCUGGAUGAAUUGACGGUACCAGCAGAAUAAGCAACGGCUAAAUACGUG